RNAcentral lists this ribosomal RNA (205 nucleotides) under uncultured bacterium. RNAcentral's name for it is "partial 16S ribosomal RNA". It matches the Rfam family "Bacterial small subunit ribosomal RNA", at positions 568 to 774 of the family's 1533-position model. The record is from RNAcentral.
GGAGCAGGCGGCACUAAGGGUCUGUGGUGAAAGAUCGAAGCUUAACUUCGGUAAGCCAUGGAAACCGUAGAGCUAGAGUGUGUGAGAGGAUCGUGGAAUUCCAUGUGUAGCGGUGAAAUGCGUAGAUAUAUGGAGGAACACCAGUGGCGAAGGCGACGAUCUGGCGCAUAACUGACGCUCAUCCGAAACGCGUGGGGAGCAAAUA